RNAcentral lists this transfer RNA (73 nucleotides) under Mammilla mammata. Its description in RNAcentral is "tRNA-Lys". Lineage: Eukaryota; Metazoa; Mollusca; Gastropoda; Littorinimorpha; Naticidae. The record is from RNAcentral.
UCUUAGAUGACUGAGGUAAAUUAGGUGUUAGAUUUUUAAUCUAAAAACGGCAUGGACUAUAUGCCUCUAAGAG